RNAcentral lists this long non-coding RNA (272 nucleotides) under Homo sapiens (human). RNAcentral's name for it is "HSALNT0154165". The record is from RNAcentral. Lineage: Eukaryota; Metazoa; Chordata; Mammalia; Primates; Hominidae.
CACCCAUCCAGACCCCUUGGAAGCCCAUCCCCAACCUCCCUGGGCUGGCAAGUGGAGAGUGAAGACUUGGAAGCAGCCAGCACAGGGCCACAUGAUCCUUGACCCCUGCUGUGGACCACUACAGCACAGGCACAAGGCGAUGGCCAGCAUCUGACUUCAUGGGCAGCCCCAGGCAGCUCUGGGGUGUGGGCGGUCAGCAGUGCUGACUUAUUAGUCAGCGUAAGUCAGCGCUGAGAGAUGCUACACCCUCUGACAGGGCAUGCAUUCAUUAA